AUUGAACGCUGGCGGCAGGCCUAACACAUGCAAGUCGAACGGUAACAGGAAACAGCUUGCUGUUUCGCUGACGAGUGGCGGACGGGUGAGUAAUGUCUGGGAAACUGCCUGAUGGAGGGGGAUAACUACUGGAAACGGUAGCUAAUACCGCAUAACGUCGCAAGACCAAAGAGGGGGACCCUCGGGCCUCUUGCCAUCGGAUGUGCCCAGAUGGGAUUAGCUUGUUGGUGGGGUAACGGCUCACCAAGGCGACGAUCCCUAGCUGGUCUGAGAGGAUGACCAGCCACACUGGAACUGUGACACGGUCCAGACGCCUACGGGAGGCAGCAGUGGGGAAUAUUGCACAAUGGGCGCAAGCCUGAUGCAGCCAUGCCGCGUGUAUGAAGGAGGCCUUCGGGUUUUAAAGUAGCUUCAGCGGGGAGGAAGGGAGUAAAGUUAAUACCUUUGCUCAUUGACGUUACCCGCAGAAGAAGCACCGGCUAACUCCGUG
RNAcentral lists this ribosomal RNA (490 nucleotides) under uncultured bacterium. Its description in RNAcentral is "partial 16S ribosomal RNA". It matches the Rfam family "Bacterial small subunit ribosomal RNA", at positions 30 to 507 of the family's 1533-position model. The record is from RNAcentral.